ACAGGGCUACGUUCCAGAACACAAAGAAACAGGGCUACGUUCCAGAACACAAAGAAACAGGGCUACGUUCCAGAACACAAAGAAACAGGGCUACGUUCAAGAACACAAAGAAACAGGGCUACGUUCAAGAACACAAAGAAAAAGAACACAAGGUUGACUUAAAAAAAAGUAAAGCAGAACCUUACAAUGAGCAGUACCCCCACUGUGGCCACGUCUACAUGACAAACAGACACAAAACACCCAGCUAAAGCUCAGGUAGAUCAAUGACCAUCAUGAGACAGACCGUUGAAACACAACAGCUGUGUAAUCUAAACAACACAAUUUCUCUUCCAGAGAAAAGAAACAACAUUUCCAACAAUUAUUUACAAUAUACUGUACAAGCUUUAUUUUCACUGGAAAAACACAACAUACUAGAGCAGAAAAAAAUGUAAUGCUAAUAAAAUUGCUAUAUUUUACAUAUACAAACACAUUACACAUUAAACACUGUGUAUAGUAUAAAAAUACAUUCACAAGGUGCAUGGAAAUUGCAAAUUGUUCAAAUUGAAUAACUUCUCCUCCUAUUGACUUCUGGUUUAUAAAAACAUUGACACAUCAUACUCUCCAGCCAUAUCCAACUUGAACUCCCCAGCAAGGUCACAUCCUUAUAGCAUAGUGCAGACUUGAGUUCUCUUCCUGUAAGAGAGCGAAAACAUACCACAAUGCACCAUAAGCAGUGAACAGUUACACUAUAACCAUAGUGGAUAGUAAAGAGUACAGUUAUACUCUACACACACUGUUUGCAGCUCAUUUGGGUUUUGCCAGUCAAGAGCAGUUUCCAGUACAUCCAAACAGAUGAUAGGAAAAUGUUCAGUUAAAUAAAUAGAUCACUCUCACCUCCUACUGUUAUUUCCUCAUUCAUCACCUUCAGAAACAAAAGUAUAAUGAGAGCGUAACUAACAGGCCCUGAUUGUAGCUGACAACAGCCUUUGGAACAACAUACAAAAUGGAGUAUUUUUUAAGCAAAAGGCACUUGCCGUGUCUACACCAGAGAAAACACAGGAGAGAUUCCACCAGAAGGAUGAGAACAUAGAUACCGGCACGGAGACCGAUGUAGAGGGGGAUCAUUGAGGAAGGGUCUGGAAGUGAAAAUGACAUCAUGUAUCAUGUUCAUUUCACAUCAAUGUUCUAAUGUCCUGCAAUUGUGAGCAUCUAUGUCUAAACCACCUAAAUGUACAUCCCUGAUCCACCUCUAUGCAGACGACACCAUUCUAUAUACUUCCGGCCCGUCCUUGGACACUGUGCUAUCUAACCUCCAAACGAGCUUCAAUGCCAUACAACACUCCUUCCGUGGCCUCCAACUGCUCUUAAACGCUAGUAAAACCAAAUGCAUGCUUUUCAACCGUUCGCUGCCUGCACCCGCACGCCUGAUCAUCAUUCUUAAAUGGAAGACGUUUGGAACCACCAAGACUCUUCCUAGAGCUAGCCGUCCGGCCAAACUGAGCAAUUGGGGGAGAAGGACCACGGUUAUGGAGGUGACCAAGAACCCGAUGGUCACUGUGACAGAGGUCUAGAGUUCCUCUGUGGAGAUGGGAAAACCUUCCAUUUGGACAACCAUCUCUGCAGCACUCCACCAAUCAGGUCAGGUCAGAUGGAAGCUAAUCCUCAGUAAAAGGAACAGCCCGCUUGGAGUUUUACAAAAGCCACCUAAAGGACUCUCAGACCAUAGGAAACAAGAUUCUCUGGUCUGAUGAAACCAAGAUUGAACUCUUUGACCUGAGUGCCAAGCGUCACGUCUGGAGGAAACCUGGCACCAUCCCUACAGUGAAGGAAUGUGGUGGCAGAAUCAUGCAUCGGGAUGUUUUU
Oncorhynchus tshawytscha (Chinook salmon) is the source of this 1842-nucleotide long non-coding RNA. The record is from Ensembl. NCBI's taxonomy places the organism in Eukaryota, Metazoa, Chordata, Actinopteri, Salmoniformes, Salmonidae.